This 315-nucleotide ribosomal RNA is filed under the name Triticum aestivum (bread wheat). RNAcentral describes it as "partial small subunit ribosomal RNA". The record is from RNAcentral. Lineage: Eukaryota; Viridiplantae; Streptophyta; Magnoliopsida; Poales; Poaceae.
AUGCUGGUCGCCGUCACCAGCGACCUCGCCGCCGCCCCGUCACCAGCGACCGAGCCGCCUCCCCAUCCGCCCUCGUUCACCGUCCCACCCCCUCUUCAGCGCCGGCAGGGCGUCUCCGCGCUCGCCGCGUCUAUGGGCAUCGCCAUCGGCCUCUCCUCUCCGGCACCGGCAGGGCGACACCGCAAGCGACGCGCGGGAGCAGCUCCAGCUCGAGGGGAUGCGGUUGUGGCGGAGGCCGAGUGCCGUCUACUCGCCUUCAUCGCCGCGGCGAGCAUCGAGGCUGUGUCCCUCUACGAGCUCUUCACGCGGCGCUAA